CCCCCUACUCACCAGACACCUCCACGUAUCCGUCCUUGGUCUUCACCAUCAGCUCCUCCGGCUUGAAGCUGUGCACGUUGACACACACUUUCCAGGGCUCCCCAGGGAACGGUGGGGGGGUCCUGCCCUCAGCAGGUACCCCAAACCUGGCCGUGGCGGUGGGCCCCCGGGGCACCAUGCCCGACCUCAGGGUCCCCGGCCAGGCCGAGGAGAAUGGAGGCAGUCAAAUUGUCGUGGAAGGGGUCCAUGCCAAAGCCAUCAUCCAGCAGGCGGGAGGAGAGGGGCGAGUCUCGGAAGGGGUCCCGGCGCAGGCGGCCCGUGUAGGGGAAGGGCAUCUGACCAUCAGCCAUGGUGGCCGCUGAGCUGGAGGGGAAGUGGAGGCUCAGAGAACCACAGCCACCUGCCCAAGGUCACACAGCAAGCUGAUGUGGGUGGGCUGGUCUUCCAAACUUAUUCUUCAGCUUCAGAAAAUGCUGAACCAUCCACUGCCAGGGACGGAGGCACACACCAGGCUGGGGUCCUGGGCCCCAGAGACACUCCAGCCACCAAAGGCGACCCCCCGCUGAUCCAGCAGAAUCCCAGAGGGCCCUUAUCCGUACUGCCUCACCAGGGAUCAGCCAGUCUCUGUCCUCGCAGGCCACACAGGCUGGCAGCCAGAGCCGCUGAGGUCUAAAGAGGAGCCAGGAGCUUAAUAAACCCAGGGAGGCAGGCCUAGAAACUUCUCGCUUCUCCUGGGCUGGGAGCUUUCUAUUUAUUGCUGCUGGGGGCUGGAGGCGGGUUUUGCAAGUGGCUCCUGUCACAGGAGUAUUCCGAGGUGAUGAACCAGCCCCAGAGAAUCCGCUGAGGGAACAGCUGUGCUCCAGGGGGCUGGGAGGGGCCCUGGCAGCCAAGUUCAGCCAGCCUCUCUGGGCAGUCUCUCCUCCCCACGCUGGCUCAGCUCCGCCCUCCCACUCCCUUCCCCGGAGCCAUCCUCCCCAGCCAGG
This 983-nucleotide long non-coding RNA is filed under the name Equus caballus (horse). RNAcentral's name for it is "lncRNA (ENSECAG00000044762.1)". Lineage: Eukaryota; Metazoa; Chordata; Mammalia; Perissodactyla; Equidae. The record is from RNAcentral.